GUCCCUGUAGAGCAAUGGAUAGCGCGUUGGACUUCUAAUCCAAAAGUUGUGGGUUCGAAUUACACCUGGGAUA
This 73-nucleotide transfer RNA is filed under the name Trichonephila inaurata madagascariensis. It matches the Rfam family "tRNA". From Rfam's summary of the family: Transfer RNA (tRNA) molecules are approximately 80 nucleotides in length. Lineage: Eukaryota; Metazoa; Arthropoda; Arachnida; Araneae; Nephilidae. The record is from Rfam by way of RNAcentral.